GGAGUUGGGGGUAAGCAAAUGUGGUCAUUGCAAUUGGGAGACCUCAAUAUUUUAUGUUCUUGCUGAUAGCUAUGGUGAGGCUAUUAAUUGGGCAAGGCGUCAUAAAUCAGAGCUAUCCUAAGGCACAAACCCGAUGCCUUAGGGAGAGCUAAGGGUUGUAGGAGCUUAGAGAGCCUGUGGAAGGGCGAGCUAACUUCCGAAUCCUAAAACUUCCACUAAGCAUGUAGAUGCUUAGAAGUAGCACCUUCGGACGCGGGUUCGAUUCCCGCCGCCUCCACCA
Molecule: transfer-messenger RNA, 280 nt
Filed under: Thermodesulfovibrio sp. 1176
Lineage: Bacteria; Pseudomonadati; Nitrospirota; Thermodesulfovibrionia; Thermodesulfovibrionales; Thermodesulfovibrionaceae
Rfam family: transfer-messenger RNA
About the family: Bacterial tmRNA, also known as 10Sa RNA or SsrA, is named for its dual tRNA and mRNA-like properties. Its role is to liberate the mRNA from a stalled ribosome. To accomplish this part of the tmRNA is used as a reading frame that ends in a translation stop signal.
Source: RNAcentral